CAGCAGUAGCCGCGGUAAUACGUAGGGUGCAAGCGUUAAUCGGAAUUACUGGGCGUAGAGCGUGCGCAGGCGGUUAUAUAAGUCAGAUGUGAAAUCCCCGGGCUCAACCUGGGAACUGCAUUUGAGACUGUAUGGCUAGAGUGUGUCAGAGGGGGGUAGAAUUCCACGUGUAGCAGUGAAAUGCGUAGAUAUGUGGAGGAAUACCGAUGGCGAAGGCAGCCCCCUGGGAUAACGCUGACGCUCAUGCACGAAAGUGUGGGGAGCAAACAGGAUUAGAUACCCGCGUAGUCCCUGUCUCUUAUAC
This 304-nucleotide ribosomal RNA is filed under the name uncultured bacterium. RNAcentral describes it as "partial 16S ribosomal RNA". It matches the Rfam family "Bacterial small subunit ribosomal RNA", at positions 506 to 807 of the family's 1533-position model. The record is from RNAcentral.